Rhipicephalus microplus (southern cattle tick) is the source of this 363-nucleotide long non-coding RNA. NCBI's taxonomy places the organism in Eukaryota, Metazoa, Arthropoda, Arachnida, Ixodida, Ixodidae. The record is from RefSeq and is a predicted model, not a curated record.
GGGGAAUUAUUGGAAGAAAACCUGUAUCAAGACGUCAACUUACAUGCCUCUCUAAUUGUAUCAGAAAACAAUGGCCUGACAGUGGAAGGUAUCAUAGGUCAGAAAUAUGGCAUAAAACCUCUAGCUUCUCAAGAUAGAACGACGCACGGCAACAUUCCUCAUAAGCUGUAUGAACUUGCCAGAGAUGAAUACCGAAUGGAUGCAGUACAUAGGCCAGCAAGUUCCUUCGUUUCACCAAGGCAGAACUCAAAUCAAUGGCCACCGAGAAAGAUAGACGUAGAGCUCUUGAUUGUUACAGACAGUGCUUUUCGAAAGCAAUUUCCAACAAAAGAGAAGAUGCUGCAUUAUCUAUUUGUUACUGUU